AUACCAUGGUGUGGACAUUUCCUAAGCAAUGACUUGAAGUGUUCCCACUCUUCGUAUAAUGUCUCUCCUUCAAAUUGAUUAAAAUUAGUAAUGUUAAGCCUUAGUUG
Molecule: small nucleolar RNA, 107 nt
Organism: Gossypium arboreum
Lineage: Eukaryota; Viridiplantae; Streptophyta; Magnoliopsida; Malvales; Malvaceae
Rfam family: Plant small nucleolar RNA R71
About the family: R71 is a member of the C/D box family of snoRNAs containing the C (UGAUGA) and D (CUGA) box motifs. Multiple nearly identical copies of this snoRNA have been identified in Arabidopsis, and it is thought to function as a 2'-O-ribose methylation guide for 18S ribosomal RNA.
Source: Rfam